GUUGUCGUUUAUCAAUUAUGACAAAUCUUUGCGCAUGCGUGGCCAGCGGCGUCGUCAACGCAGCUAUUUAUAAACUUGGUAAAACUCCGACCCCUCGAAGCCCCCCCAUAUCAUCUCAAAGCCCGGCUUCCUCAUAUGUGUGCAUCUUUUUUGCCCCUGCCCUCGGCCUGGCUCCCCACUCGUAUUAUUUCAAACGAUUCCGUGGUCGCUGUGUGUUGACUUUUCUCGGAUGCCUUUGCAUGUCGCUUGGUUUUUUCGAACUUCAUUUGCGCUUCGGUUCGGUGACAAAUAAAUUAAGUGGCAGCCUCAACCAGAGAGGGGUACAAAAAAAAAAAAAAAACGCCAAAGGCAAAAACCAAGAAAAUAAAGACUGCCCCGGGGCCCAGCCCAGUAUUACAACAAAGUCACCCAGCCAGCAGCAACAAGUGGCUAUCCUUGGACUCUUGAGGGAACCGACUAGGAGAUACCUUGGGUGUUCCAAAAAUUCAGAACACUAAAUUUAUUUCUCCAUAUUUUUAAACCUUUUUUAUUAAGGAAAUAUCUCAAGCCAAUCAGCUGAAAUAUUUACAUCUACAUAAAUAAAUCAGUCUAAAAUUCCCUAUGCCAGACUGACAGCUCCAUCUGUUAAAGUGGCCAUGCUAAGCCUGAGUUGCCUGAAGACCUCACACAUCUGAAGUGUUAAAGUUGCUUUGCACUGGAAAACUACUAGAGGCAAGCCCACACAGCCCUAAAGACAACUCAGCCACUCCAUCAAGGGACCGAUUCUGCCAACUUGAGGGCCAAAAUCAGCUGCUACCGUUUGGCGGGGCCCGAAGGCGAAGGUGCACCUCUUGGCCAAAGUCGUUUAUUAAUUUGGCAUGUGACAAAUUGUGCGUUGGCCAGCAAUUAGAAUUGCGCCUGGGCGCAGAGGGAGAGACGGACAAGUUUUGAGGAUUCGAAGCCUCCAUGCUCCUCGGACAACUUGUCUUCGUUUUAGCGCUGAUUUCACAAAAUUUCACUGCCGAGAGACACGUACAAAACGGCUUCGAUCUCUGGCAUUCUGGGAUUUCUGUGGAUACUGGCGAGGAUGGGGCACUGGGGCGGAGGACGAGGAGCGUCAACAGACGACAAGUGGCACUUUGGCGCAUUAAGAAAAUCUGUACAAGUGUCACUUUGGCACACAAACACACAGGAACAGAACAGAAGGAACCAGAAGGAACCAGAAGCAACAUCGCCAGGAGGAGAGCUGUCAGCUGGAGGAGAUCGGGGCAUCGGGCCAGCCCGGGGGGAUGUAAAUGGAGAAGCCCCGA
Molecule: long non-coding RNA, 1289 nt
Organism: Drosophila biarmipes
Lineage: Eukaryota; Metazoa; Arthropoda; Insecta; Diptera; Drosophilidae
Exons: 3
Source: RefSeq, a predicted model, not a curated record